Anguilla anguilla (European eel) is the source of this 1506-nucleotide long non-coding RNA. RefSeq lists it as uncharacterized. The transcript has 2 exons. The record is from RefSeq and is a predicted model, not a curated record. NCBI's taxonomy places the organism in Eukaryota, Metazoa, Chordata, Actinopteri, Anguilliformes, Anguillidae.
GACUUCUUAAUCAUGCUACGUUUCUCGUGAUUUGAGUUGUUCCUUCAUCCACACCACUAACCAUGACUCGGUUAGCAAGCAAUCAGAUUCUAACCAGUCUAGACUAGUUGGCUGUACUGCGGGCGCGGGCACACAUCGAUAGCAAAGCAAACCACUACUAGCUAUAGCGUUAGCCUUACCGAGUGGCGACGUAUUUUGACACGUUUAGCCGGUGGAGUGGGUGCCUGGGGAAGAUCCAGGAGGGCGGUGGGGGACUGCUGAAAGGCGGAGACGGAGGUGUGUCAGCCAGAUCACCUGACCGGGCUGCUGAAGGGAAGGGGAUGGGGCCAGGUAGUGGACCAUGGGGUGACCAUGAUCUUCCUCGAAGCCCUCAUCCUCCACAUCCUGGUCAAGAUCUUGGACGUAAGCAGCCUCGUCCAGAGUAUCAGGCUGAUGCCCUGCAGCUCCCCGCCUGUCUGCGAGUACAGGUACUCAAGGCCGAUGGGCUCCUCUGCAAAGUGAGCCUGGAUUAAAACUUGUGCCAAAACACGCAUCAAAGGGAGAGUUGACGCUGACAUUAGGAAGCUACUCACCAGUGUGCUCGACAGGCUUGAUGUGAUCCUUGACCAGGGCCAAGCGCUGAGCUGGUUAAGGGAGUGCUGCCGGUGGCCACCGUAGCAGAGCAGAGGCUGCACUCGUCCCUCCACUGCGGCUGCGGCACGGUUCCAUCUCACCAGUCCGUCCAGCAGGAACGCCUGGAAGUGCGAGGCGUUCUCACGAUCUCCUGAAAGUAAACAGAAUGCAUGUAAGCAAAGAUGGAAAUUUACCUUUACCAAAAAUUAUCUUAACAGUCAGGGUAGGUGGAGGUGUUCUUGGUUAGAGUGUCCUUGUUGGCCAUUUGAGGGCUCUGGGACAAGUUGGUCUUCCUCCUUUCUCAACAGGGAAGAAUGAGUAGUUCGCUUUGCAUUCUCGCAGCCCUCAUCAUCUCUGGUCGAAAGUUAUUAGACUGCUAUUCAUAAAGUUACCACAAGGGGUCACGAUUUAUUAACAUCAGCAUGUGUUUUCUUUGCCCACAGUAUUUUCCUACCUUUAAUCAGUUUAAAUUCACAACACUUAUUCCACUCAUUUGUAUAUUAACAUUUAUACAUUAAGCUCAUGUCCCAAAUUUGCUCAAGGCAAUGUAGAGCACUAGACAUAAUUUCAGUUUCUAUGCUAAUGGUAAGAAUAACUUGGAUGGUGUUACCAAAUUCAUGCUUCAGUUUUAAAAAGCAGUCGUGAAAAUAUUACAAAAUGCUACUUCUUGUGACUGAAUAAAAAAACUUACUUAAUAUAGUAAAGAUUAUGCUUCCAUAUAGGUGUACAGUUAACCUCUUUUUUACUAUCUAAUGUGGUGCAAACUGUUCCCCAUUAAAAAACAGUCAAAUCCUUAAAGUAACAAUAGUAAACAUCUUAACAACAAUACUGUUUUACAGGUUUCAGCAAGUGCCUGAGUCUCAAAUGAUACAAAAAUAAAAAAAGUAGAAAAUG